UUAAUAGAAGCCAAAAAGAGGCCAUUCACUGUUAAUGAAUUAAUUGACAUUCCCUAUUAAG
RNAcentral lists this transfer RNA (61 nucleotides) under Ornithodoros furcosus. RNAcentral describes it as "tRNA-Asn". The record is from RNAcentral. Lineage: Eukaryota; Metazoa; Arthropoda; Arachnida; Ixodida; Argasidae.